Molecule: long non-coding RNA, 391 nt
Filed under: Phoenix dactylifera (date palm)
Lineage: Eukaryota; Viridiplantae; Streptophyta; Magnoliopsida; Arecales; Arecaceae
Description: long non-coding RNA (PDAC_LNC014964)
Source: RNAcentral
GAAAACUCUUUCUCCACUGUGCAUACUGCCCCGGCCGAGGUCUUAUGAACUCAGUCUUAUAAAUCACAUAGGAUCUCUCCUUAUCUAUCAAGAUCGAUAGAUUCCUUAUAGGUGCAUACCCUACUCCUACAGUGAACUUACUGCAGCCAAUCUACAUUGCAUGGACCCAUAUGGCUAGAGACCAUGUAUGUGUGCAGUCAAACUACAAUAACCUCACUGUGAGUAGCCGAAGCACCGCAGGUCAAAGGACCAGUCACACUACUGCAACAUCAAGCAAGUCACUGACGAGUGGAUAGACAUCCAAGUGACUUCUUGUUUUGGUCACGCUCAGUACCCUUGUUCUCCAACAAGCACCUGCACUAUCACUUCAGUGUCCGUACACUGUGGACUC